GAAGUACUGCUGGCCCAGCACCGGCAGUUGAAGUUGUUGCGCGAGUCCUGGAGAGCAAUUAACUGAGAAGGCUUGAAAGAGAAGCGUUGACUGUUGGGUCUGUGGGCAAGAUGGACUCUCCACAGAAGGUCGUAGACCAUCAGCCCUUCUGCCUCAGUCUGAAAUGCUUUGUGAAGACGCUGCGGUUGGAUGUUAUCAACUCGGUGGUAACAACACUAUUCAUGCUUAUUGUGUCUGUGUCGGCUCUAAUACCAGAAACCUCAACAAUGAUAAUGGUUGGAGGGGUGUUUGGUUUCCUGACAGUAAUAUGUACUGUUGCUGAUUGUGCCCUUAUGUGCCAGAAACUCCGGUUUCGUCCACAUGGACCUUAUCAGAACAGGUCUGCUACUGAUGUAGAUGACAGUUAAUUUUAUACUCAUUUUUACUAGUUAUUAAAUUCUUUAUACUUCCAU
RNAcentral lists this long non-coding RNA (452 nucleotides) under Rattus norvegicus (Norway rat). RNAcentral describes it as "long non-coding RNA NONRATT014432". The record is from RNAcentral. Lineage: Eukaryota; Metazoa; Chordata; Mammalia; Rodentia; Muridae.